Molecule: ribosomal RNA, 433 nt
Filed under: uncultured bacterium
Lineage: Bacteria
Description: partial 16S ribosomal RNA
Rfam family: Bacterial small subunit ribosomal RNA
Source: RNAcentral
AACGAACGCUGGCGGCAUGCCUAACACAUGCAAGUCGAACGAGACCUUCGGGUCUAGUGGCGCACGUGUGCGUAACGCGUGGUAACCUGCCCUUAGGUUCGGAAUCACUCCCCGAAAGGGGUCCUAAUACCGGUUAAUGUCUUCGCACCAAAGAUUUAUCGCCUUUGGAUGGGCCCGCGUUGGAUUAGCUAGUUGGUAGGGUAAAAGCCUACCAAGGCGACGAUCCAUAGCUGGUCUGAGAGGAUGAUCAGCCCCACUGGGACUGAGACACGGCCCAGACUCGUACGGGAGGCAGCAGUGGGGAAUAUUGGACAAUGGGCGAAAGCCUGAUCAAGCAAUGCGGCGUGAGUGAUGAAGGCCUUAGGGUUGUAAAGCUGUUUUACACGGGAUGAGAAUGACAGUACCGGGAGAAUAAGCUCCGGCUAACUCCGUG